AGGGCCCCUCCUCAAUCCUGU
Molecule: microRNA, 21 nt
Filed under: Microcebus murinus (gray mouse lemur)
Lineage: Eukaryota; Metazoa; Chordata; Mammalia; Primates; Cheirogaleidae
Description: mmr-miR-296
Gene: mmr-miR-296
Source: miRBase by way of RNAcentral